ACACUGGGGUCAAAUGUUGCUCUGAUAGUCACAUCAGUUGUCCAGAAUUGUGACAGACCUGUGCGUCAGUGUUAUUUUCCGGCUGUCGUGUGUGUGGAAAGCUCAUGAUUGUCUGACUUUGUCACUUUGGAGUUUGACACAUGCUGUUAGACCUGUACACCUGGUUCUGUUCACAUGAUGAUUCUCAGUUUCUUAUAAAUCACAGUCCUGAACAGAGACAAACACACACGCAAGAAGAACACACACAGGAACAGUCAUGUUGUACAUUGUUGGGAUUGUUUUGGGGCUUAUUUGCAUCAUCAAGUGCAUGUCAAAUGGUCUGUGUCAGAAACAUGCCAAAGGCAGGGAAUGGCUUCCAAGAAAAAAACUUGCUUUACAAAAAGAAGUGGAGAAUGAAUGAUCAGGAACUUCACCUCAUCAUAAAACUCCUCUCUAUUGGGCUGGUGGAUGCAGAUCCAAACACUCUGCACCAUAUAAAAGAAUACAGAGAUCUGAGAGGAAGUUCAACCUGAGAGAGGAAGUAUCAUCCACACGAUUAUACAAAGCUCCCUUCCUCAUCUUUAACCCUGACAGCGAAAACCUAAGAGCAGUGGUUCUCUUUUACUUUGAUUACUGGUUACUCAAGGAAACAUGUGACAUGACAAAGACUGUUGUCCUCCCAGACCUUAAAAUGACUGUGUAACGCUUGGACUCUUUUUCCUGAAAUGAUGUCUGAAACAUCUGGAUUGUGUGAAAUCUGAAAGACUCCGGUGGAAUGGACUUUCACUAAACAGUUCUUAAAAGAACCAUUUUUUCAUAGCAUAAAGAACAUUUUUAUAAUCUAAAGAACCUUUUUCCACUAUAAAGAACCUUUUGUGGAAUGGAAAGGUUCCAUGGAUGUUAAAGGUUGUUCAUGGAACCAUCAAUGCCAAUAAAGAAUCUUUUUAAGAGUGUAGCAAUUGGCAAGAAGAGGCCAAUUCACACCUUGCCGACAGACGGCAACAGACAAUUCAUCGGGUUUUGUCGGAUCAACGUUACCCCUGUUGGAGUCUGUUGGAGCUUGUUUUGGCCGACUGAACAUGUUGAAUUGGAAUUAGAAUGCAUGAGAAGUGACGUGCUGUAAUCUGGUGACUGUCGGCAUUGGUCUACGCCUGUCGGUGCAGUGUGAAUUGGCCUAAAAAGAAUAAACAUUCUCUAUAGAGAAUUACUGCAUUAUGAAUACUCGGAUCACACAAGUAUUAAAAAUAUUCCUACAUGUGCAAUGUACAAAAUAUAUUUGCCAUUGUCACCCUGUAUAUAUGCAGAAAAAUUUUUCUGAAAGUUGCACUAACAAAGACUGUGUGACAAAACAGCACAGUUCUUCCACACGGUUUUUUGAUUUUGUUAAAUAACUUGAUCAAUAAAUGUUAGAGGACACCAGCUUUAUUAUUUUUAUAAGUG
This is a long non-coding RNA of Ctenopharyngodon idella (grass carp), 1419 nucleotides long. RefSeq lists it as uncharacterized. The record is from RefSeq and is a predicted model, not a curated record. NCBI's taxonomy places the organism in Eukaryota, Metazoa, Chordata, Actinopteri, Cypriniformes, Xenocyprididae. The transcript has 4 exons.